RNAcentral lists this long non-coding RNA (315 nucleotides) under Manihot esculenta (cassava). RNAcentral's name for it is "long non-coding RNA (MESC_LNC005350)". Lineage: Eukaryota; Viridiplantae; Streptophyta; Magnoliopsida; Malpighiales; Euphorbiaceae. The record is from RNAcentral.
CAAUCAUCUUCAGCUCUCUGGAGCUUUCAGGGAAAGCCCAUCCCGCAAACUCGUUGGCAAACUCCUCCCAAGACAUACUGUCCACCCUAGGGUUCACAUAGUUCUUGAACCAUUCACGGGCCUUCUUACAUUUUAAUGUGAACCCAGCCAUCUGAAUGGCUCUACUGUCAUCUGCCCCUAUCUCAUCUGUUAUCACCUUGACUCUCUCAAGGUAAACAAACGGGUCAUCACCAGUUUCAAACUGUGGGGCACCCAACUUCAUGUAGUCGGUCAUCUUAACCUUGCCCCCUCCAGAUGAGCUAGGUUGAGGUAUUU